This 428-nucleotide ribosomal RNA is filed under the name Escherichia coli 2-316-03_S1_C1. Its description in RNAcentral is "bacterial SSU rRNA". It matches the Rfam family "Bacterial small subunit ribosomal RNA", at positions 8 to 432 of the family's 1533-position model. The record is from RNAcentral. Lineage: Bacteria; Pseudomonadati; Pseudomonadota; Gammaproteobacteria; Enterobacterales; Enterobacteriaceae.
AGAGUUUGAUCAUGGCUCAGAUUGAACGCUGGCGGCAGGCCUAACACAUGCAAGUCGAACGGUAACAGGAAACAGCUUGCUGUUUCGCUGACGAGUGGCGGACGGGUGAGUAAUGUCUGGGAAACUGCCUGAUGGAGGGGGAUAACUACUGGAAACGGUAGCUAAUACCGCAUAACGUCGCAAGACCAAAGAGGGGGACCUUCGGGCCUCUUGCCAUCGGAUGUGCCCAGAUGGGAUUAGCUAGUAGGUGGGGUAACGGCUCACCUAGGCGACGAUCCCUAGCUGGUCUGAGAGGAUGACCAGCCACACUGGAACUGAGACACGGUCCAGACUCCUACGGGAGGCAGCAGUGGGGAAUAUUGCACAAUGGGCGCAAGCCUGAUGCAGCCAUGCCGCGUGUAUGAAGAAGGCCUUCGGGUUGUAAAGUA